This 465-nucleotide ribosomal RNA is filed under the name Vreelandella stevensii. RNAcentral describes it as "partial 16S ribosomal RNA". It matches the Rfam family "Bacterial small subunit ribosomal RNA", at positions 338 to 795 of the family's 1533-position model. Lineage: Bacteria; Pseudomonadati; Pseudomonadota; Gammaproteobacteria; Oceanospirillales; Halomonadaceae. The record is from RNAcentral.
CCUACGGGAGGCUGCAGUGGGGAAUAUUGGACAAUGGGCGAAAGCCUGAUCCAGCCAUGCCGCGUGUGUGAAGAAGGCCUUCGGGUUCUAAAGCACUUUCAGUGGGGAAGAAAGCCUUGGGGCUAAUACCCUCGAGGAAGGACAUCACCCACAGAAGAAGCACCGGCUAACUCCGUGCCAGCAGCCGCGGUAAUACGGAGGGUGCGAGCGUUAAUCGGAAUUACUGGGCGUAAAGCGCGCGUAGGCGGUCUGAUAAGCCGGUUGUGAAAGCCCCGGGCUCAACCUGGGAACGGCAUCCGGAACUGUCAGGCUAGAGUGCAGGAGAGGAAGGUAGAAUUCCCGGUGUAGCGGUGAAAUGCGUAGAGAUCGGGAGGAAUACCAGUGGCGAAGGCGGCCUUCUGGACUGACACUGACGCUGAGGUGCGAAAGCGUGGGUAGCAAACAGGAUUAGAUACCCGAGUAGUC